Molecule: non-coding RNA, 206 nt
Filed under: Tardiphaga robiniae
Lineage: Bacteria; Pseudomonadati; Pseudomonadota; Alphaproteobacteria; Hyphomicrobiales; Nitrobacteraceae
Also listed under: 1 other name
Source: RNAcentral
GCGACCUAUGCGAGCGGUGGUGCUCGCAAGGGCUAACCAAGGGAAUGCGGUGCGUCUGCCUGGCAGACAAUUCCGUGGCUGCCCCCGCAACUGUAGGCGGAUAGCCGAGGACCAUAAAUGCCACUGGGGAUGCAGAUGCUCCCUGGGAAGGUGGUCCAAGGCGACGAUCCGCGAGCCAGGAAACCUGCUGCCGGUCAUGGUCAUGC